This 369-nucleotide ribosomal RNA is filed under the name Triticum aestivum (bread wheat). RNAcentral describes it as "partial small subunit ribosomal RNA". Lineage: Eukaryota; Viridiplantae; Streptophyta; Magnoliopsida; Poales; Poaceae. The record is from RNAcentral.
AUGGCGGCCAUGUCCGUGGGUACUACCAAGGAGGCCGCAAGAGCCUGUACACUGUCGGCGAGCUGCCGUUCAGUACCAAGGAGUUUGAGGUCACCUUACCUGACAACAAGCCAGGUCCAUCUGAGCAAAGGUGCUCGAUAUUGUGUUGCGCAAUAUUGUGCUCAACGAACGCAAUGGCAUGGGAUUAAGAAGGCCCUCAGGGGUGUGAGAGUUGAGGCCGCCCACCGAAUUAUCGCCUGGCAAAACCAAGAGAGUGAGGGAGUACUUCAGAGAAACUUACAAGCUGCAACUACCUUGCAAUUUUCUCCCCUGCCUGCAAGUUACAGAGCAGAAACCCAACUAUCUUCCAAUGGAGGUGCCUCCAAAUAA